RNAcentral lists this ribosomal RNA (468 nucleotides) under uncultured bacterium. Its description in RNAcentral is "partial 16S ribosomal RNA". It matches the Rfam family "Bacterial small subunit ribosomal RNA", at positions 28 to 507 of the family's 1533-position model. The record is from RNAcentral.
GACGAACGCUGGCGGCGUGCUUAACACAUGCAAGUCGAACGGAAAGGCCCUGCUUUUGUGGGGUGCUCGAGUGGCGAACGGGUGAGUAACACGUGAGUAACCUGCCCUUGACUUUGGGAUAACUUCAGGAAACUGGGGCUAAUACCGGAUAGGAGCUCCUGCUGCAUGGUGGGGGUUGGAAAGUUUCGGCGGUUGGGGAUGGACUCGCGGCUUAUCAGCUUGUUGGUGGGGUAGUGGCUUACCAAGGCUUUGACGGGUAGCCGGCCUGAGAGGGUGACCGGCCACAUUGGGACUGAGGUACGGCCCAGACUCCUACGGGGGGCAGCAGUGGGGAAUAUUGCACGAUGGGCGGAGGCCUGAUGCAGGAACGCCGCGUGCGGGAUGACGGCCUUCGGGUUGUAAACCGCUUUCGCCUGUGACGAAGCGUGAGUGACGGUAAUGGGUAAAGAAGCACCGGCUAACUACGUG